Molecule: ribosomal RNA, 121 nt
Filed under: Carlito syrichta (Philippine tarsier)
Lineage: Eukaryota; Metazoa; Chordata; Mammalia; Primates; Tarsiidae
Source: RNAcentral
AUUUACAGCCAUAUCUCAUCCUUGAAAGCAUUUGAUUUCUUCUGUUCUAGGAGCUAAGCAGGUUUGGGCCUGGUUAGUACUUGGAUGGGAGACGUCCUGGGAUGAAAGUUUUUUGUAUUCA